Long non-coding RNA from Astatotilapia calliptera (eastern happy), 732 nucleotides. The record is from Ensembl. Lineage: Eukaryota; Metazoa; Chordata; Actinopteri; Cichliformes; Cichlidae.
UUAGUUUGUAUAUGUGUACAUAUAGUAUGUAUAUUUACAGUACAGUAUGUUGUGUUUGUUGACAUAUUUUCAGGUGGAAGCAGAAUAUGUGAGGAUUACUACUGCUGCACAUGUUCCAAGGCUUUUUACACAACUUGACCAAUACACUGACCAGCUCAUAAAAGUCUUCAAGAAAAAAGGAGGCGUUGCAGGGAAGAAAAUUAGACAAACUUUGGCCCCAGCCACACAGAAGGAAACUAUUGAAAAGGGGAGGGAGUGUGUCCUCAGGGCACUACCUUUUUACCUGAAUGAAGACCCAAGCAUCCUCUUCAAAGAAUAAUUGCUACAGCUGUUCAGAGGGAGCUGGAACAAAUUACCCUUGCUAUCUUUACCAUCGAAAGAGCUGAUGCCAGCACUCCUCCAGCCGAUGUGGGUAUAACCAUCUAGUGUGUCCUGCAUGACCUGGAAGACCUGGCCUCUGCAUGUGCACUCUUAAUGGGUGGGAUAUAUGCACUGAAUCUCAGUUAACCUUAAGACUGAAAGCUUUCUUUGAAGUACUUCAGAAGCUCUUCCUUCAUCUGUAUGUCAGCAGACUCUUGACCAAGGUACAGAUGCUCAAGAAUACACUGAAUGAAUAAGCCAACCUUUAAUUUGGAUGAUGAAUGUUCUGUCAGAUGGACAGAAGUUUUUCGGAGGCUGAAUGGGAAUAAAAUGGUAAUUUGUAAAUGACAGAUAACGGGAAAAUUACAUUUA